This 235-nucleotide ribosomal RNA is filed under the name uncultured Glomus. Its description in RNAcentral is "partial 18S ribosomal RNA". The stretch from base 40 to 235 matches the Rfam family "Eukaryotic small subunit ribosomal RNA", at positions 686 to 886 of the family's 1831-position model. The record is from RNAcentral. Lineage: Eukaryota; Fungi; Glomeromycota; Glomeromycetes; Glomerales; Glomeraceae. RNAcentral also lists the same sequence under 1 other name.
GGGUUAGUAGGUUGGUCAUGCCUCUGGUAUGUACUGGUCUCACUGAUUCCUCCUUCCCGAUGAACCGUAAUGCCAUUAAUUUGGUGUUGCGGGGAAUUUGGACUGUUACUUUGAAAUUAGAGUGUUUAAAGCAAGCUAACGCUUGAAUACAUUAGCAUGGAAUAAUGAAAUAGGACGUUCGAUCCUAUUUUGUUGGUUUCUAGGAUUGACGUAAUGAUUAAUAGGGAUAGUUGGG